ACCAAAAGGAGAUGGGUAAUGGAGGGUAGAAAAAGCAUGGGUUUAAGGUGAACAGUCAGAAACCAAAUUUAGAGUCUGGCUUGGUCCGGAAACUUAAAGGCAUUAUUAUGAACUGUUCAUGCUGUCAACAAGUUAAGCUCCUAUUUAAAAAUGACUUGGUAAAGGUCCGCGAACUCCCAACCGAGCAAUCUGCAUGCCAGGGGGCGUUGAUGGUCCAAUGAAUAUGGACGUGAAAGGGUUAAUGCCAGAGUCUCGGGGUGCUGCGAGCGGAGGCGAAGAGGACUGUGGGAGUUCUGUCGUACGUGGCCCCAGGGGCGCCUGGGAAAUAUCCUGUGCGCGUCUCUAUUAUGAUCGAGUGUAAAUGAGGGCCGCCGGCAGGCUGGAAACUAGCUACUGCGGUCGCAGUUGCUCUUUGAAGCCGCAAGGUAGGGGCGAUCGGCUGCCGCUGCCAGGAGAGCGGACGAUGCGGAGAUCCCUGAGCAAUCAUCUAAGAAGUCUGAUCACCUGAAUAGACCACAUGGAGAGACUGUGAGAGCACAUGAAGAGAGGUGGGCAGGGGGAACCCAGCUGCAUCCAACAAUCCAGAAAUCCCUAACAAGAUGCUAGACAUGAAGGAAACCAUCUUGGAUCCACCAGAUCAACCUAGCCACCAGCUGGAUACCACUGAGAGAUGCCAGUGGAGCAGAAUUGUCCAAUAAGCCUUGCCCAAAUUUCUCACCCACACAGUCAUGAGUAUAAUAAAAUGAUUAUUGUUUUCA
Phacochoerus africanus (Common warthog) is the source of this 758-nucleotide long non-coding RNA. RefSeq lists it as uncharacterized. Lineage: Eukaryota; Metazoa; Chordata; Mammalia; Artiodactyla; Suidae. The record is from RefSeq and is a predicted model, not a curated record. The transcript is spliced from 3 exons.